This 464-nucleotide ribosomal RNA is filed under the name uncultured bacterium. RNAcentral describes it as "partial 16S ribosomal RNA". It matches the Rfam family "Bacterial small subunit ribosomal RNA", at positions 28 to 507 of the family's 1533-position model. The record is from RNAcentral.
GACGAACGCUGGCGGCGUGCUUAACACAUGCAAGUCGAACGGAAAGGCCCAGCUUGCUGGGUGCUCGAGUGGCGAACGGGUGAGUAACACGUGGGUGAUCUGCCCCUAACUUCGGGAUAAGCUUGGGAAACUGGGUCUAAUACCGGAUAGGACAAUCGUUUAGUGUCGGUUGUGGAAAGUUUUUUCGGUUAGGGAUGAGCCCGCGGCCUAUCAGCUUGUUGGUGGGGUAAUGGCUUACCAAGGCGUCGACGGGUAGCCGGCCUGAGAGGGUGGACGGCCACAUUGGGACUGAGAUACGGCCCAGACUCCUACGGGAGGCAGCAGUGGGGAAUAUUGCACAAUGGGCGCAAGCCUGAUGCAGCGACGCCGCGUGGGGGAUGACGGCCUUCGGGUUGUAAACCUCUUUCGACAGGGACGAAGCUUUGGUGACGGUACCUGUAUAAGAAGCACCGGCUAACUACGUG